RNAcentral lists this ribosomal RNA (497 nucleotides) under uncultured bacterium. RNAcentral's name for it is "partial 16S ribosomal RNA". It matches the Rfam family "Bacterial small subunit ribosomal RNA", at positions 28 to 507 of the family's 1533-position model. The record is from RNAcentral.
GACGAACGCUGGCGGCGUGCCUAAUACAUGCAAGUUGAGCGCUGAAGGCUGGUACUUGUACCAACUGGAUGAGCAGCGAACGGGUGAGUAACGCGUGGGGAAUCUGCCUUUGAGCGGGGGACAACAUUUGGAAACGAAUGCUAAUACCGCAUAAAAACUUUAAACACAAGUUUUAAGUUUGAAAGAUGCAAUUGCAUCACUCAAAGAUGAUCCCGCGUUGUAUUAGCUAGUUGGUGAGGUAAAGGCUCACCAAGGCGAGGAUACAUAGCCGACCUGAGAGGGUGAUCAGCCACACUGGGACUGAGACAGGGCCCAAACGCCUACGGGAGGCAGCAGGAGGGAAACGUGGGCAAGGGACGGAAGUCUGAGCGAGCAACGCCGCGGGAGGGAAGAAGGUUGUCGGAUCGUAAAUCUCGGUUGGUAGAGAAGAACGUUGGUGAGAGUGGAAAGCUCAGCAAGUGACGGUAACUACUCAGAAAGGGACGGCUAACUACGUG